GCAAGUCGAGCGACAAAGGGGCUUCGGCCCUGAGUAGAGCGGCGGACGGGUGCGUAACACGUGGAUAAUCUGCCUCGUGGCGGGGGAUAACAGUCCGAAAGGACUGCUAAUACCGCAUGUCAGGUCGGAAACCCUGGUUUCUGACGAAAAAAGAGGGGCGCCCCGGCAAGGGGGCUCUCACCACGAGAUGAGUCCGCGGCCCAUCAGCUAGUUGGCGGUGUAAUAGACCACCAAGGCUAAGACGGGUAGCUGGUCUGAGAGGAUGACCAGCCACACUGGGACUGAGACACGGCCCAGACUCCUACGGGAGGCAGCAGUGGGGAAUAUUGGACAAUGGGCGAAAGCCUGAUCCAGCCAUGCCGCGUGAGUGAUGAAGGUCUUCGGAUCGUAAAGCUCUGUGGGAAGGGACGAAAAAGCCUAACCUAAUACGUUAGGUCUUGACGGUACCUUCUUAGCAAGCACCGGCUAACUCCGUGCCAGCAGCCGCGGUAAUACGGAGGGUGCAAACGUUGCUCGGAAUUAUUGGGCGUAAA
This 533-nucleotide ribosomal RNA is filed under the name uncultured bacterium. RNAcentral's name for it is "bacterial SSU rRNA". It matches the Rfam family "Bacterial small subunit ribosomal RNA", at positions 57 to 564 of the family's 1533-position model. The record is from RNAcentral.